AUGAACGCUAGCGACAGGCCUAACACAUGCAAGUCGAGGGGCAGCACAAGGAGCAAUCUGAGGUGGCGACCGGCGCACGGGUGAGUAACACGUAUGCAACCUGCCUGUAAGCGGGGAAUAACCCGUUGAAAGACGGACUAAUACCGUAUAAUACUAAAUUACUGCAUGGUAAUUUAUUUAAACAUUUAUGGCUUACAGAUGGGCAUGCGCAUGAUUAGCUAGUUGGAGAGGUAACGGCUCCCCAAGGCAACGAUCAUUAGGGGUUCUGAGAGGAAGGUCCCCACACUGGUACUGAGACACGGACCAGACUCCUACGGGAGGCAGCAGUGAGGAAUAUUGGUCAAUGGACGAGAGUCUGAACCAGCCAAGUCGCGUGCAGGAAGAAUGUCCUAAUGGAUUGUAAACUGCUUUUGCAGGGGAAUAAAGUGCAUCACGUGUGAUGUUUUGUAUGUACUCUGCGAAUAAGGAUCGGCUAACUCCGUGCCAGCAGCGGC
RNAcentral lists this ribosomal RNA (494 nucleotides) under uncultured bacterium. RNAcentral describes it as "bacterial SSU rRNA". It matches the Rfam family "Bacterial small subunit ribosomal RNA", at positions 29 to 518 of the family's 1533-position model. The record is from RNAcentral.